GACGAACGCUGGCGGCGUGCUUAACACAUGCAAGUCGAACGGAAAGGCCCUUCGUGUUUGGCGUGUUGGGAAGGGGUAAGUAAGAGGAAGAUGAUCUGAACCGCACCUCGGGUUUAGGACGGGAUAAGGAAACUAAGACUAAAAACGUAUGGGAGCUGCAUCUCGAGUGGGGGGAAGGGAUAUUUUCGGCGGUUGGGGAUGGAGUCGCGGAUUAUGAUCUUGUUGGUGGGGUAGUGGCUUACCAAGGCGGGGACGGGUAGCCGGCCUGAGAGGGGGACCGGCCACACUGGGACUGAGAUACGGACCAGACUCCUACGGGAGGCAGCAGUGGGGAAUAUUGCACAAUGGGCGCAAGCCUGAUGCAGCGACGCCGCGUGAGGGAUGACGGCCUUCGGGUUGUAAACCGCUUUCGGCUGUGACGAAGCGUGAGUGACGGUACCUGCAGAAGAAGCACCGGCUAACUACGUG
RNAcentral lists this ribosomal RNA (468 nucleotides) under uncultured bacterium. Its description in RNAcentral is "partial 16S ribosomal RNA". It matches the Rfam family "Bacterial small subunit ribosomal RNA", at positions 28 to 507 of the family's 1533-position model. The record is from RNAcentral.